RNAcentral lists this ribosomal RNA (494 nucleotides) under uncultured bacterium. Its description in RNAcentral is "partial 16S ribosomal RNA". It matches the Rfam family "Bacterial small subunit ribosomal RNA", at positions 28 to 507 of the family's 1533-position model. The record is from RNAcentral.
GACGAACGCUGGCGACGCGCUUAACACAUGCAAGUCGAACGGAAAGGCCUGCUUUCCCUUGUGGAUUGCGGGUACUCGAGUGGCGAACGGGUGAGUAACACGUGAGUGAUCUGCCCCCAACUUGGGUAUAAGCCUGGGAAACUGGGUCUAAUUCCCGAUAGGACUGCAGGGUGGUGCCUGUGGUGGAAAACGAUUUUCUAGUGGUUGGGGAUGAGCUCGCGGCCUAUCAGCUUGUUGGUGGGGUAAUGGCCUACCAAGGCGGCGACGGGUAGCCGGCCUGAGAGGGUGGACGGCCACAUUGGGACUGAGAUACGGCCCAGACUCCUACGGGAGGCAGCAGUGGGGAAUAUUGCACAAUGGGCGGAAGCCUGAUGCAGCGACGCCGCGGGGGGGAUGACGGCCUUCGGGUUGUAAACUCCUUUCGACCGCGAGGAAGCCACCUGGUUGGAAGGGUGGUGACGGUAGUGGUAGAAGAAGCACCGGCUAACUACGUG